UUGAACGCUGGCGGCAUGCCUUGCACAUGCAAGUCGAACGGCAGAGGGGCAACCCUUGAGAGUGGCGAACGGGUGAGUAAUGCAUCGGAACGUGCCCAGUCGUGGGGGAUAACGCAGCGAAAGCUGUGCUAAUACCGCAUGUGAUCUGUGGAUGAAAGCAGGGGACCGCAAGGCCUUGUGCGAUUGGAGCGGCCGAUGUCAGAUUAGCUAGUUGGUAGGGUAAAAGCCUACCAAGGCGACGAUCUGUAGCUG
Molecule: ribosomal RNA, 252 nt
Filed under: uncultured bacterium
Lineage: Bacteria
Description: partial 16S ribosomal RNA
Rfam family: Bacterial small subunit ribosomal RNA
Source: RNAcentral